RNAcentral lists this ribosomal RNA (460 nucleotides) under uncultured bacterium. RNAcentral describes it as "partial 16S ribosomal RNA". It matches the Rfam family "Bacterial small subunit ribosomal RNA", at positions 338 to 795 of the family's 1533-position model. The record is from RNAcentral.
CCUACGGGAGGCUGCAGUGAGGAAUAUUGGUCAAUGGUCGCAAGACUGAACCAGCCAAGUAGCGUGAAGGAUGACUGCCCUACGGGUUGUAAACUUCUUUUAUGAAGGGAUAAAAUGAGUCACGUGUGCCUUUUUGUAUGUACUUUAUGAAUAAGGAUCGGCUAACUCCGUGCCAGCAGCCGCGGUAAUACGGAGGAUCCGAGCGUUAUCCGGAUUUAUUGGGGUUAAAGGGAGCGUAGGUGGGUUGUUAAGUCAGUUGUGAAAGGUUGCGGCUCAACCGUGAAAUUGCAGCGGAUACUGGCAGGCUUGAGUACAGGGGAGGUAGGCGGAAUUCGUGGUGUAGCGGUGAAAUGCUUAGAUAUCACGAAGAACUCCGAUUGCGAAGGCAGCUUACGAAACCGCCACUGACAUUGAUGCUCGAAGGUGCGGGUAUCAAACAGGAUUAGAUACCCGAGUAGUC